This 299-nucleotide ribosomal RNA is filed under the name uncultured bacterium. RNAcentral describes it as "partial 16S ribosomal RNA". It matches the Rfam family "Bacterial small subunit ribosomal RNA", at positions 399 to 691 of the family's 1533-position model. The record is from RNAcentral.
GCGUGUGUGAAGAAGGCCUUCGGGUUGUAAAGCACUUUCGAUGGGGAAAAACAAGCCAGACCUAAUACGUCUGGCCCUGAUGGUACCCAGAGAAGAAGCACCGGCUAACUCUGUGCCAGCAGCCGCGGUAAUACAGAGGGUGCAAGCGUUAAUCGGAUUUACUGGGCGUAAAGCGUGUGUAGGUGGUUUGUUAAGUCAGGUGUGAAAUCCCUGGGCUCAACCUGGGAACUGCGCUUGAUACUGGCAAACUAGAGUGUGGUAGAGGGUAGUGGAAUUCCGCAUGUAGCGGUGAAAUGCGU